GUCAAGUCAUCAUGGCCCUUAUGUCCAGGGCUACACACGUGCUACAAUGGGCGGCACAAAGCGAAGCAAGUCCGCGAGGACAAAGCGAACCGCCGAAAGCCGCCCGUAGUCCGGAUUGAAGUCUGAAACCCGACUUCAUGAAGCUGGAAUCGCUAGUAAUCGCGCAUCAGCAUGGCGCGGUGAAUACGUUCCCGGGCCUU
This 200-nucleotide ribosomal RNA is filed under the name uncultured prokaryote. RNAcentral describes it as "partial 16S ribosomal RNA". It matches the Rfam family "Bacterial small subunit ribosomal RNA", at positions 1184 to 1382 of the family's 1533-position model. The record is from RNAcentral.